RNAcentral lists this small RNA (21 nucleotides) under Karenia brevis. RNAcentral describes it as "trans-spliced leader sequence SL". Lineage: Eukaryota; Dinophyceae; Gymnodiniales; Kareniaceae. The record is from RNAcentral.
CCGUAGCCAUUUUGGUUCAAG